This 429-nucleotide ribosomal RNA is filed under the name Bacteroidota bacterium. RNAcentral's name for it is "Bacteroidetes bacterium partial 16S ribosomal RNA". It matches the Rfam family "Bacterial small subunit ribosomal RNA", at positions 355 to 776 of the family's 1533-position model. Lineage: Bacteria; Pseudomonadati; Bacteroidota. The record is from RNAcentral.
UAGGGAAUCUUCCGCAAUGGACGCAAGUCUGACGGAGCAACGCCGCGUGAGUGAAGAAGGAUUUCGGUUCGUAAAACUCUGUUGUUAGAGAAGAACAGCGCAUAGAGUAACUGUUAUGCGUGUGACGGUAUCUAACCAGAAAGCCACGGCUAACUACGUGCCAGCAGCCGCGGUAAUACGUAGGUGGCAAGCGUUGUCCGGAUUUAUUGGGCGUAAAGCGAGCGCAGGCGGUCAAUUAAGUCUGAUGUGAAAGCCCCCGGCUCAACCGGGGGGGGUCAUUGGAAACUGGUUGACUUGAGUGCAGAAGAGGAGAGUGGAAUUCCAUGGGUAGCGGUGAAAUGCGGAGAUAUAUGGAGGAACACCAGUGGCGAAAGCGACUCUCUGGUCUGUAACUGACGCUGAGGCUCGAAAGCGUGGGUAGCAAACAGG